GCCAGUUUGGCUCAGUGGCUAGAGCGUCAGCCUGCAGACUGAGGGGUCCCGGGUUCAAUUCCGGUAGGGGGCA
RNAcentral lists this transfer RNA (73 nucleotides) under Myotis brandtii (Brandt's bat). It matches the Rfam family "tRNA". Rfam says of the family: Transfer RNA (tRNA) molecules are approximately 80 nucleotides in length. Their secondary structure includes four short double-helical elements and three loops (D, anti-codon, and T loops). Lineage: Eukaryota; Metazoa; Chordata; Mammalia; Chiroptera; Vespertilionidae. The record is from Rfam by way of RNAcentral.